AAGCGGCCCAUUCACUUUUUUCCUUUACACCAAGAGUUUUUUUGCCAUGCAAAAAUGUGCAAAGGAAGGGCAGGGCAAAGGGAUAGUUUGUGACCAAUUAUGUAUCAGACCCCAUGGGUAGAGGAACAUGGUUUAAUACUACCGGCGAGUCAAAAGUAACCAGAGAGUCUGGUGCCAAAGCUAGCCCAACGUGAGAUCACUGAGAGCCAAUGGUCAGCAACUCUGCUGAAUUCAAUUUAAACCUACUAAUAUCUUGCGGACACAUCCACCAGGGACAACUUGACAUACAGACACUAUUGUUGUAUAGUCAAGGCCCCAAAAGCAUCACAAUAAAAUUACUUCCAAGAGGCAUGUCUUCCUAUAAUAUUUCUGUGAUAGAUUUAUAUAAGAGAAUGCAUUACUGUCAUAAAUCUA
Molecule: long non-coding RNA, 414 nt
Filed under: Bos taurus (domestic cattle)
Lineage: Eukaryota; Metazoa; Chordata; Mammalia; Artiodactyla; Bovidae
Description: long non-coding RNA NONBTAT017809
Source: RNAcentral